GACGAACGCUGGCGGCGUGCUUAACACAUGCAAGUCGAACGGAAAGGCCUUGCUUCUGUGGCGUGCUCGAGUGGCGAACGGGUGAGUAACACGUGAGUAACCUGCCCUCGACUGUGGGAUAACUCCAGGAAACUGGGGCUAAUACAGGAUAGGAGCUCCUGCUGCAUGGGGGGGGUUGGAAAGUUUCGGCGGAUGGGGAUGGGCUCGCGGCUUAUGAGCUUGUGGGUGGGGGAGUGGCCUACAACGGAUUUGACGGGUAGCCGGCCGGAGAGGGUGACCGGCCGCAAUGGGACUGAGGUAAGGCCCAGACGACUCCGGGGGGCAGCAGUGGGGAAUAUUGCACAAUGGGCGGAAGACUGAUGCAGCAGCGCCGCGUGCGGGAUGAAGGCCUUCGGGUUGUCGACCGCUUUCGCCUGUGACGAAGCGUGAAUGACGGUAAUGGGUAAAGAAGCACCGGCUAACUACGUG
RNAcentral lists this ribosomal RNA (468 nucleotides) under uncultured bacterium. RNAcentral's name for it is "partial 16S ribosomal RNA". It matches the Rfam family "Bacterial small subunit ribosomal RNA", at positions 28 to 507 of the family's 1533-position model. The record is from RNAcentral.